Long non-coding RNA from Fundulus heteroclitus (mummichog), 2571 nucleotides. RefSeq lists it as uncharacterized. Lineage: Eukaryota; Metazoa; Chordata; Actinopteri; Cyprinodontiformes; Fundulidae. The record is from RefSeq and is a predicted model, not a curated record. The transcript has 3 exons.
CCCUGUCACCAGAAACACAAAGGGUCCUUCUCACUCAUGCGUUGGAGGAGCUGCAUGCGCGGGGCAUUCGGGUGCUAUGUGUAACAAUGGAUGGGCAUGCCUCCAACAUCAGCAUGUGCAACCAACUUGGAUGUAAGCUCAAGGGAAACCCACGAGAGCCCCUUAAAACAAGUUUUCCACAUCCGGCAUCUGGUGAGAAAGUAUUUGUAAUGAUGGACGCAUGCCAUAUGCUGAAGUUGGCACGUAAUAUGUUGCAGGCGUAUAGCCCAAUAACAACAACCACCGGUCAGAUCGAUUGGAGGCACAUCAAUCAUCUCAAUAAUGUGCAAAAAAAAGAUGGACUGCAUGCUGCCAACAAAAUUACAGACAAGCAUGUGUACUUUGAGAACCACAAAAUGAGGGUGUCCCUGGCUGCACAAACACUGAGUCGCUCUGUGUCGGUGACCCUCCGCACUAUGAGGGAUCUUGGGUACACACAGUUUAAAAAUUGUGAGGCAACAGCAGAAUUUAUUGAGGUAAUGUAAUUAUUACAGAACCAAUUAAUUUUUUUUUAAAACUAAUUCAUUAACAUUAGAAUUGAUCAUUAGGGACAGGUAUUUAAUCUGAAUGUCUAUGAAUUCAUCAUUCAAUUAUUGUUGUAGGCUGUGAUAUUGUAUAUUCUUUAUAAAUUCAAAAGUUUGUAUUAACAUUAUAUAUAUAUUUAUAGAUAAUUGACAGGCUGUUUGACACAAUGAAUGGACGCAAUCCUCGUGCUAAAGGAUUCAAAGCUCCAUUGGGUGCUUGGAAUUGGAUGCAGAGGAAAGCAUUUCUGUCAAGAAGCAGGGAGUACUUGCUCACUUUAGUGACAAAAGGCGGAACACCCCUUCACCAAUCAAAGAGGUCUAUUAAAAUAACGCAUGAGUAGUUCUUGAAUUCAAUUUUGGCGAUGCUCAGUUCCUUUAUCCAUCGAGUUUCUAAGAUGGCCUGUUCACUGCAUGAAGUUCAUAUGAUGUUAAUGUUUGUAUUCAGUCAAACACACUGUUCAGUUUUGUUUGUCAUAAUUGUCUUCUCUUUAGCGUCUUGUUUCAGGUCCCAGGUUUUUCUAAAAGGUAUGUAUUACACAACAGAAAGUUAUUUACAGGUGUCAGAAAGAUGGUAUGUACAGUUUAUUUAUAUGAUUGUGUUUAAAUGUGGUCCUGUAAAUAGUAUUUGGUGGUGAUCAGUGGGGCCGUUGGCACAGAACGGCAGCCAUGCUUCUGUCAGACUGACCACCUUGCGGUAUGGAGAGGGUAAAACUAACGUAAUUGUAAAGUGUAUUAGAGUGUUGAGAAAAAUGUAUUAUACUUUAUAUGAUAUUCAGUUCAAUCAAUUGUUUUAUUUUGCAAUAUUGUAAGUUCUUCUGUUUCUAUUGUCCUGUAUUCAGUGUAUUUCAGGUGCCAAGUUCUUCUAAAAGGUAUGUAUAGUAUUACACAAUAUAAACUACAGGUAAGUUUCAAACUGUUAUGUAUUACAUCAGUUGUUGUUCCAGUUCUUCCAGUUCCACUCUUGCAUUUUUUUUUACUUAUUCAAGGGUUGGGGUGUCCUAUGUUGCCAUGAUCAGAGUAAAAAAAACUUUUUGCCUUUCUCAGGUAUUUGUCUGUCAUUGGCUUUGUCAUCAACAUCGACACAUUGAUGCUAAUGGUUCCGGAACUGCUCCAAAUUCAGCAGUACGUCCUCACAUACCGGUUCAGCCAAGAUCAUUUGGAGUUCCUAUUUAAUUCAGUCAGAGCAUCAGGUGGCUGGAAUAACAAUCCCUCUGCAAACCAGUUCCAGUCCAUCUUCCGCCGUCUGAUGGUUCGGUGUGGUGUCUCACCUAGUGACACAGGAAAUGUGGCACCCCAAGAUAACACUGUGUCCCUGUCUGCUGUGGAGAUGUCCUCUGCUGAAACUGCCGAGGAUCACCCAUCUCCAUUUGUCAACAUUUUGGCUGUUGUGUGUGACCACAGCUAUCUUCCAACUAAGUUUGGUGGUCUAGUGGAAAAUGCUCUGGUGUACAUAGCAGGAUUUGUAGUCCGCCAGAUUCUGCGACAACUAGGCUGUGAUGUGUGUCGGGCAAGUUUGAUCAGAGAAGCUGUACCCUCAUCAGCUGAUGAGAGCUACCACCUGCUUACUCUGAAAAACAAUGGUGGCCUAGUGAUUCCCUCAAUAGGAACAGUGAAAGUGCUGAGGGCUGCAGAGAGGGUGAUUCGCAGAGCUUCAACAAAGCAACCUCCAAAGGUGUCGACUGUCACCCACAUUGUCCGUGAAGAGAUUGGGACAGAGGAUGUGUUCUUGCUUGGGCAACACAUUGAGGACACGCAAUUUGGCAUUGACAACCAUCAUUCCAACUUGUUGUCAUUGGUUGUGUCUGUAUUUAUGAAGAUAAGGCUGCACCACAUUGCCAAAGUCACCACUCAUGAACUCCAGAAGGGGAACACAAGAAAAAAGCUCAGCAAAACAGUCCUUUUUCAGGGCUAUUAGCUAAUAUUACAGAUAUACAUAUAUACAUAUAUAUAUAUAUAUAUAUAUAUAUAUAUAUAUAUAUAUAUAUAUAUAUAUAUAUAUAUAUAUAUA